AGUUUUGACUUAUGAGAAAAAAAAAUAAAAAAAAAUUAGUAUAGAAUGCCUAAAAAACUGCACUGGGUAAAUGUUAUCACCCCAUUAAAUUGUAAUGUAUAUGUAGUUGUGACAAAAGGCCUUUUGUCACUGUUUUUUCACGUGACAAACUACCCUGUUCCCCUGGCUUAUGGAGAAGCCUGAUUGCCAGCCUCCUUCCUCAUGAUUAUGGCCCUGGGGUGUAUGGCCCUUUAAGAACAGUCUAUGGGCAUAUUGAGACUUUUUGUGACAAUGCCCCUUUAAGACAGUGUCCCCAGACUGUUAAACUACUUUGUGCAUGUAAUUUUCCUAUUUGGUUCGGUAAAUGGGGCUUACCGAGCCAAGUACUGCACAGACGGACCACACGCAAGUGGAAGUGUGCAGGCAAUUUACCUCCCAGGCUGACAGUUAACUACAGGUUAAUUGCCGACAGCUGGGUGGCUGCCAUUCAUACAGUCGAACACGUGGCGGUGGCCAUCUUUGUUAGUCGAACGUGGUCAGCGUUGUGUGCCAGCAAAUCCAUGGAACUAAAAUCGGCUACACAUUUGCAUGAACACCGCUGACCCUUACCUUCUCCUCCACUUUGACGUUUUGGUUGAAA
Molecule: non-coding RNA, 619 nt
Organism: Pelobates cultripes (western spadefoot toad)
Lineage: Eukaryota; Metazoa; Chordata; Amphibia; Anura; Pelobatidae
Source: the annotation of a GenBank genome assembly